CGUAGGGUGCAAGCGUUAAUCGGAAUUACUGGGCGUAAAGCGUGCGCAGGCGGUUUUGUAAGACAGGCGUGAAAUCCCCGGGCUCAACCUGGGAAUGGCGCUUGUGACUGCAAAGCUGGAGUGCGGCAGAGGGGGAUGGAAUUCCGCGUGUAGCAGUGAAAUGCGUAGAUAUGCGGAGGAACACCAAUGGCGAAGGCAAUCCCCUGGGCCUGCACUGACGCUCAUGCACGAAAGCGUGGGGAGCAAACAGGAUUAGAUACCCUGGUAGUCCACGCCCUAAACGAUGUCAACUGGUUGUUGGGUCUCUUCUGACUCAGUAACGAAGCUAACGCGUGAAGUUGACCGCCUGGGGAGUACGGCCGCAAGGUUG
This 370-nucleotide ribosomal RNA is filed under the name uncultured organism. RNAcentral's name for it is "bacterial SSU rRNA". It matches the Rfam family "Bacterial small subunit ribosomal RNA", at positions 526 to 896 of the family's 1533-position model. The record is from RNAcentral.